Molecule: unclassified non-coding RNA, 145 nt
Filed under: uncultured Teratosphaeriaceae
Lineage: Eukaryota; Fungi; Ascomycota; Dothideomycetes; Mycosphaerellales; Teratosphaeriaceae
Description: sequence contains ITS1
Source: RNAcentral
CCAGAGAUGGCGGGCCCCCGCGCCCCCGUCCCCCAACCCUUUGUUGACCAACGUUCCUUUGCCUCGGGGGCAGAGCGGCCGCCGCCGCCCCCGGAGGACCACUAAACUCUGUCUCUGUACGUCGGAGUCUUUGAUUAAACAAACA